AUCACUUAAGUUGAGUUGAGUGGUCAAUAAACAGAUGAGACAGAUAUUAACAUAGGGCGAAUCCUAGUCUGUGGUUAUUGUUGUUGUAAAGUAUUUCUGUGUCGCAUGUUCUUAUCAAAAUGACCAGUAAAACAAGUCUUUGUGGUCAACAAUUUGAUUCCUCCUAAUUGUCACAGAUUUGAAUGUGUUGCAUUCAUUGCAUGAGUUGAAAUCCAAGUUUAACCCACUGACCAGAUGACUUUGGUUAAAAUCAGAGGCUGGAUCAUUUCUCACUAAACCCAAUGUGUUUCUGCAUUGUAGGGAUCGGAGGAGCCUCAGUCACCAAAGGACAGGGAGCUGAAGCAGACUGUGACCCAUCGGUACCAAACGGACAAUGGGUGAAAAUACCCCGACCAGGACUGAAAGCAGGAGCUGAAGCAGCCGCUGGCACAAUGACUAAAGGAUAUGGGGCCAGUGCUGGGGGAUAUGCAAAUGGAGGAGCAGCUAUAGCAAACACACCCGGUAAGGAGCCUCAUGCUGUGUAAGCGUAAAGGGUUGUUGAUACUGGGAUCUGGUUUUGAUUUACACUCUAAUGACUAAUGAUCUGUUUGCGUGACUUGACUUGCUGAUAACAGUGACUCACAUUUAACAAUAACACUGUGGGUCAAGGCCCUGAGAUAUGUAUGGAACCAUUACAGUGGAAGUGAGAUUUCUUGUAAUGAUGUGGUGAAUAUUUAUGUAGGUUUGUGUUCUUCUGCGUGUUUGGUUGCAUUCAGUGUAUCUGAGGGUUUUGUUUCUUCCAAAGCUAGCGCAGCAGCAGGCUUCGCUCUCCCUGGACUCUUUCCUGGAUAUGGACCUGGUAACAUUUCCUGUUCAUACAAACAAGCAUGAGCUGUGUGCAUUUCUUAUUUUACCCUAUGGAUUUAUGUCCUCAGGUCUUGGCUAUCCAUAUGCAGGAAAACCAAAGCAGCCUGGUUAGUGUGUGUUUUGUUUUUUUCUUAUUUUGCUGAAAUACGUUACGUUUGGCUUCAGAUCUUUGUGUUGCAUGCAGGUUACGGACACGGCGCGUACCUCGGGGCUGGAUAUGAAAAUGGAAAUUCCCAUAAAGGUCAGUGCCACAGCGGCUUCAUGUAAGGACUUAAUGAGCAUUUACAUGUCACCAUUGUUGCAGUGAGGUGGUUCCUUCUUUCAUGCAGGUUAUGGAAAUGGCUUCAGAGCAGGUGUGCAGCCGGAUUAUGCAAGUAAGUAACGGGAUUUGAAAUGUAUUCUAUUGUUUUAAUUACAGCAACAGCCAAUACUUGUCUUUUUUCCAGGCCUUGGACAAGCUACACCCAGUGUUGAUGCAAAAUCAGGUAUGAAACAUGCAGCUGUGCUACUGAUCCUCUUAUUUCUACCUUUAAAGCAAAGUAAAACAGACCAAC
RNAcentral lists this long non-coding RNA (1400 nucleotides) under Betta splendens (Siamese fighting fish). Its description in RNAcentral is "lncRNA (ENSBSLG00000018371.1)". Lineage: Eukaryota; Metazoa; Chordata; Actinopteri; Anabantiformes; Osphronemidae. The record is from RNAcentral.